UACGAAGGGUGCAAGCGUUACUCGGAAUUACUGGGCGUAAAGCGUGCGUAGGUGGUUUGUUAAGUCUGAUGUGAAAGCCCUGGGCUCAACCUGGGAAUUGCAUUGGAUACUGGCAGGCUAGAGUGCGGUAGAGGAUGGCGGAAUUCCUGGUGUAGCGGUGAAAUGCGCAGAUAUCAGGAGGAACACCGGUGGCGAAGGCGGGUCUCUGGGCCGAUACUGACGCUGAGGAGCGAAAGCGUGGGGAGCGAACAGG
This 253-nucleotide ribosomal RNA is filed under the name uncultured bacterium. RNAcentral describes it as "partial 16S ribosomal RNA". It matches the Rfam family "Bacterial small subunit ribosomal RNA", at positions 524 to 776 of the family's 1533-position model. The record is from RNAcentral.